CCUACGGGGGGCUGCAGUCGAGAAUCUUCCUCAAUGGGCGAAAGCCUGAAGGAGCGACGCCGCGUGCAGGAUGAAGGUUUUCGGAUCGUAAACUGCUUUUCUCAGGGACGAAUUUGUGACUGUACCUGAGGAAUAAGAGGUUGCUAACUCUGUGCCAGCAGCAGCGGUAAUACAGAGACCUCAAGCGUUAUCCGGAUUUACUGGGUGUAAAGGGUCCGCAGGCGGAACAGCGGGUCAGGGGUAAAAUCUUCGAGCUCAACUCGAAGCCCGCUCCUGAAACUACUGUUCUAGAGUUCGGAAGAGGCAAUCGGAAUUGCUGGUGUAGUCGUAAUAAGCGUUGAUAUCAGCAAGAACACCAAAUGCGAAGGCAGAUUGCUAGUACGUAACUGACGCUCAGGGACGAAAGCGUGGGGAGCAAACAGGCUUAGAUACCCCAGUAGUC
RNAcentral lists this ribosomal RNA (442 nucleotides) under uncultured bacterium. RNAcentral's name for it is "bacterial SSU rRNA". It matches the Rfam family "Bacterial small subunit ribosomal RNA", at positions 338 to 795 of the family's 1533-position model. The record is from RNAcentral.